CAACGCGAAAAACCUUACCUACCCUUGACAUGUCUGGAAAGCCGAAGAGAUUUGGCCGUGCUCGCAAGAGAACCGGAACACAGGUGCUGCAUGGCUGUCGUCAGCUCGUGUCGUGAGAUGUUGGGUUAAGUCCCGCAACGAGCGCAACCCUUGUCAUUAGUUGCUACGCAAGAGCACUCUAAUGAGACUGCCGGUGACAAACCGGAGGAAGGUGGGGAUGACGUCAAGUCCUCAUGGCCCUUAUGGGUAGGGCUUCACACGUCAUACAAUGGUCGGGACAGAGGGUCGCCAACCCGCGAGGGGGAGCCAAUCUCAGAAACCCGAUCGUAGUCCGGAUCGCAGUCUGCAACUCGACUGCGUGAAGUCGGAAUCGCUAGUAAUCGCGGAUCAGAAUGUCGCGGUGAAUACGUUCCCGGGUCUUGUACACACCGCCCGUCACACCAUGGGAGUGGGUUUCACCAGAAGUAGGUAGCCUAACCGUA
RNAcentral lists this ribosomal RNA (482 nucleotides) under Alcaligenes sp. CP_22. RNAcentral describes it as "bacterial SSU rRNA". It matches the Rfam family "Bacterial small subunit ribosomal RNA", at positions 957 to 1443 of the family's 1533-position model. Lineage: Bacteria; Pseudomonadati; Pseudomonadota; Betaproteobacteria; Burkholderiales; Alcaligenaceae. The record is from RNAcentral.